CCUACGGGGGGCAGCAGUGAGGAAUAUUGGUCAAUGGGCGCGAGCCUGAACCAGCCAAGUCGCGUGAGGGAAGACGGUCCUAUGGAUUGUAAACCUCUUUUGUCGGGGAGCAAAAGACGCCACGCGUGGCGUUCCGAGAGUACCCGAAGAAAAAGCAUCGGCUAACUCCGUGCCAGCAGCCGCGGUAAUACGGAGGAUGCGAGCGUUAUCCGGAUUUAUUGGGUUUAAAGGGUGCGCAGGCGGAAGAUGAAGUCAGCGGUAAAAUUGAGAGGCUCAACCUCAUCGAGCCGUUGAAACUGGUUGUCUUGAGUGAGUGAGAGGUAUGCGGAAUGCGUGGUGUAGCGGUGAAAUGCAUAGAUAUCACGCAGAACUCCGAUUGCGAAGGCAGCAUACCGGCGCUCAACUGACGCUCAUGCACGAAAGUGUGGGUAUCGAACAGGAUUAGAUACCCGAGUAGUC
Molecule: ribosomal RNA, 459 nt
Filed under: uncultured bacterium
Lineage: Bacteria
Description: partial 16S ribosomal RNA
Rfam family: Bacterial small subunit ribosomal RNA
Source: RNAcentral